Molecule: long non-coding RNA, 1177 nt
Organism: Dunckerocampus dactyliophorus (ringed pipefish)
Lineage: Eukaryota; Metazoa; Chordata; Actinopteri; Syngnathiformes; Syngnathidae
Exons: 3
Source: RefSeq, a predicted model, not a curated record
CAGGAAGCAUCAGGAAGCGAAUCAACAAUGGACUUAUGGCCCACAGCUGCACUGUUAGCCUCUGCCUGGAUCCACUGCACUCAGCCGCCCGAGGCUAAUGGACACACCUGUCCAGGUGAUGGACAGAGCGGCCGUCCAGUCCCGCCGCUGCCCUACUGGUCACCUACUGGUGGGGGAACAAAGAGGCACAGUGGAAAUCUCCAACAUCAGCAGCUAGGAUGCCCUAAAGGCUUUAAUCAGUAAUGUAUUUUCUCUUGGAGAUAUAGAAGUAGGUUUAUUUGAUGUGCAGCAUUUGUUUAUUCAAAUAAAUCCUGCAAUUAAUUAGGAUGCGGCGUCUACCAGAGGCAUAUAUAUGGAAAAUGUGUUUUGUAGCUUUCUAAGAUAGGCUUCUGUUAUAUUUGUAUGUGACAUAUGCGAAACUAAGAUAAACUUUAACUGGACACAUUUCUAUGUGUGUAAUGAAAUGUGACUUUUAAAACAAAACACAAUUUAAUAUGGAUAUAAAAACAUCUUAACUUGGAUAACAAAAUAAACAUACAGUAGUGUGUUCUAUACUGUAUGUCCUCAACAAACUGUAUGUGUUAUUGAUUAGUAUGCAAUCAGGCCUUGUGGGAAAAAGUCACUAUAAUUUGGAAAUGUCUUCACUUUCUCUUUCUAACAACAGGCAGAGCAGACGGUUGACAUGCUUAAUCGCUUCAGUCUUUAGGUCAGUCCCAAAUAGACACAGUGGGAUAACGAGGGUAAAGACAGAUUAUCCCAAAGGCCUCGUAACGACUGUAUUGUCUCCGACAUGCACGCGAAGGCAAUCCUUACAUAAUACAUUUUAUAUAAUAAAUCAGCAUAAUCUACAUCACUGCUUUGUUUUAAAUAGAAAAUUCUUAUUUGAAUAUAACUAAAAUACUCCCAUGUGUCAUUGCUCUUGAACACUGACCUUAACCGAGGCAAGUGACGCCUGCAGUUCUUUAGAUGUUGUUGUGGGGUCUUUUGUGACCUCUUGGAUGAGUUGUCACUGCGCUUUUGGGAUAAUUUUGGUUGGUCGGGAGUGGCUGGUUCCAUGUUCUUGCCAUUUGUGGAUAAUGGCUCUCACCGUGGUUCGCUGGAGUCCCAAAGCUUUAGAAAUGGCUUCAUAACGUUUUCCAGACUGAUCUCAAUUCAUCUCGGUUAAGUCAUAUUUUAA